UUGUGUUUGGGAUGGUUGGCAAUGCACCAACCAAAAGAAAAAACGAAAACACGAGAAGGGGAACAGCUGAUAGAUCGCAAAACAAAGAAAACAAAACGGCAGAAUAAUAAAAAUACAAAUUAAGUGCACACUCCUGUAAGGGGAAAUAAUUGUAUUUAUUUUCACAAAUUGGCGCGGAAAAAAAGCCCAAAGGCCUGAUGUCCACUUAGGUGGUUUAACCUCUCUGGAUGUCCCACACAAAAAAGAACUAUCUUUUCCCAAUACAAUACUGAAUUUGCUAUGUAAUUUGAGGAUCACAAAAUAAACACGUCUACUUCACUCUAUGCUAUGCGGUGGACUGGAAGCUGACACGCUCGAAGGUUCGUUAUAUGCGUACAACAUAUAACAAAGCAAAAGCGUGGGAAGGCUCGGCAGGUGCAGGGAGUAUGCAAGGCGAAACUAAAAAGGCCACUUUACUUAAAAUGUGUACUUUUUUAAUGAAAUGGAUGACAAUUUCGGCGGUAGAGUGGUUGAGUCAGCAGUAAUAAACGACAGUUUGGAGAACAACGAAGACUAUUCGGAAGUAGAGCUCAAGGAGUCA
Molecule: long non-coding RNA, 580 nt
Organism: Bactrocera tryoni
Lineage: Eukaryota; Metazoa; Arthropoda; Insecta; Diptera; Tephritidae
Exons: 3
Source: RefSeq, a predicted model, not a curated record